GACGAACGCUGGCGGCGUGCUUAACACAUGCAAGUCGAGCGGAAAGGCCCUUCGGGGUACUCGAGCGGCGAACGGGUGAGUAACACGUGAGUAACCUGCCCCAGACUUUGGGAUAACCCUCGGAAACGGGGGCUAAUACCGGAUACGACACAGCUUCGCAUGGGGUCUGUGUGGAAAGUUUUUCGGUUUGGGAUGGGCUCGCGGCCUAUCAGCUUGUUGGUGGGGUGAUGGCCUACCAAGGCGACGACGGGUAGCCGGCCUGGGAGGGCGACCGGCCACACUGGGACUGAGACACGGCCCAGCCUCCUCCGGGAGGAAGCGGUGGGGAAUAUUGCACAGUGGGCGGAGGCCUAAUGCAGCGACGCGGCGUGGGGGAUGACGGCCUUCGGGUUGUAAACCUCUUUCAGCAGGGACGAGGCGUAGGUGACGGUACCGGCAGAAGAAGCGCCGGCCAACUACGU
This 461-nucleotide ribosomal RNA is filed under the name uncultured bacterium. RNAcentral's name for it is "partial 16S ribosomal RNA". It matches the Rfam family "Bacterial small subunit ribosomal RNA", at positions 28 to 506 of the family's 1533-position model. The record is from RNAcentral.